GUAGCUAUAAAUAACGCAAUAAACAAGACAUCAAAGAGCAAAAAAAGUUUAAACCAUACCUAAAAAAUGAAGGCUUUUUUCAUAAUAUGCAUUAUCUUGGCAACUGCUCUCUUCUCUCCCUUUCUCAUCACUGCAAGAGAAUUAACAGAGGAUGGAAAAGGCAGUGUUACCCUUCCAGUUCCAAAACCCAAAGGCAAGCCAAUUGAAUGCAGUGGCAAAUAUUGCUUCCCUUUAAAGCCCCCGCACAUUGAAAAGCCUUGCACUAAGCCUCUGCCCCAAUGCAAUUAAUUAUCUAUCUAUCUAUCUAUGUAUAUGUGAAAUAAAUAUGUAUUUCCCAAUAAAUUGUUGAGAGGAUAUCUUUGAACCUAAGCCAAGUCUAAUAGGGGAUUUCUUUGGCUUUGCAAAAUCCUUAUUACAUGUAAUCCCAUCUUACAAUAGUAUAUAAUAACUCUUAAUUCAAGGCAACCAUGUUUUCGGAGUAAA
Long non-coding RNA from Jatropha curcas, 483 nucleotides. RefSeq lists it as uncharacterized. NCBI's taxonomy places the organism in Eukaryota, Viridiplantae, Streptophyta, Magnoliopsida, Malpighiales, Euphorbiaceae. The record is from RefSeq and is a predicted model, not a curated record.